RNAcentral lists this ribosomal RNA (778 nucleotides) under uncultured bacterium. RNAcentral's name for it is "bacterial SSU rRNA". It matches the Rfam family "Bacterial small subunit ribosomal RNA", at positions 154 to 916 of the family's 1533-position model. The record is from RNAcentral.
AAACCGGGGCUAAUACCGGAUAAUUCUUUUCCUCACAUGAGGGAAAGCUGAAAGAUGGUUUCGGCUAUCACUUACAGAUGGGCCCGCGGCGCAUUAGCUAGUUGGUGAGGUAACGGCUCACCAAGGCAACGAUGCGUAGCCGACCUGAGAGGGUGAUCGGCCACACUGGGACUGAGACACGGCCCAGACUCCUACGGGAGGCAGCAGUAGGGAAUCUUCCGCAAUGGACGAAAGUCUGACGGAGCAACGCCGCGUGAGUGAUGAAGGCUUUCGGAUCGUAAAACUCUGUUGUUAGGGAAGAACAAGUACCGGAGUAACUGCCGGUACCUUGACGGUACCUAACCAGAAAGCCACGGCUAACUACGUGCCAGCAGCCGCGGUAAUACGUAGGUGGCAAGCGUUGUCCGGAAUUAUUGGGCGUAAAGCGCGCGCAGGCGGUUCCUUAAGUCUGAUGUGAAAGCCCCCGGCUCAACCGGGGAGGGUCAUUGGAAACUGGGGAACUUGAGUGCAGAAGAGAAGAGUGGAAUUCCACGUGUAGCGGUGAAAUGCGUAGAGAUGUGGAGGAACACCAGUGGCGAAGGCGACUCUUUGGUCUGUAACUGACGCUGAGGCGCGAAAGCGUGGGGAGCAAACAGGAUUAGAUACCCCUGGUAGUCCACGCCGUAAACGAUGAGUGCUAAGUGUUAGAGGGUUUCCGCCCUUUAGUGCUGCAGCAAACGCAUUAAGCACUCCGCCUGGGGAGUACGGCCGCAAGGCUGAAACUCAAAGGAAUUGACGG